Marmota flaviventris (yellow-bellied marmot) is the source of this 1548-nucleotide long non-coding RNA. RefSeq lists it as uncharacterized. The record is from RefSeq and is a predicted model, not a curated record. Lineage: Eukaryota; Metazoa; Chordata; Mammalia; Rodentia; Sciuridae.
GAACACAGGGAAAGGACGAUACUUUCCAGCUGGUAGCGAGAGCAGUCAACACGUGAGAUCAGCACAAAACAUACUGCAGACAAGGUCUUGGACAAACCAGAGCAACAGAGCAUGAAAGAUGUCCAGAAGGUUUCCAUCAGCAUGACAGUGAGUGCCCCUUUGCUGAGUCAAUCGGUACCUUGUAAGUCCAGGGACCUAGAGGUGGCUGAGGGGAGAAAGUGGACACUCCAAAGAUCACGCUGAAGCUUCUAUCACCCACGAGUCUCCUGAUGCCUGUGGUGUGGGUUUACGGCACUGGGAAUCCUAGUGCAAAGGAACUUCUGGGGCAAGGAACCUGCUGUUAUGAAGGGACCCCUAAACUGACUCACUUACUCAACCCAUCCUGCUGCCUGGGGGACUCCAGACAGACACAAGAAGGAAAGUUCUAAAACUUUGUCACUUGACAAACUGAAGCUAUUAAUCCAUCAAAUUUAGGGUUGAAAAUACACAAACCUCUGCUGUUUGUAGGACUUAGGGUAACAUCAGAUGACAUGAUCUGAAUUCCAGGGAAGAGCCACUUCCACUGUGAGUCACCCAGUUCCCUUCAUUCCAAGAAAUGCCCCCAUCAUCCUGCCAACAACGAUUUCUUGUGGUCAUGAGGAGGUGAUAUUAUUAUUUUCCUCACCAGAGCCUCCUAGAACAUGUAGCAGGCAUGAGGAUGCUUCCUUGCUGACAGACCAACCAGCAGAGGCAGUGAGAAGGACAAAGUUCAUCCCUUUCUAAACACUACCAUUGGCUAAAUUAUCACUGGGAUAACAUUUAAUACCUGUUUGUAAAAAUGAUGACCUUGAAAAUAUCUUGAUUUUAUAUUUAUAAAGACUGUCCUGCUUAUUUUAAACAAUUUUGAAACACAGAAAAUAAAAAACUUCAGGUUUCUAGUUAUUCCACUCCCCAAUAAACAUUGUUCGAGAGUUUGGUUUAUAUCCUUCAAGAAAUUUUUUUAUCUAUAUAGGCAUACAUAUACACAUCUAAAAGUGUAACUCCUAGAAUCCCAGGUUCCUCAGGAUAUUGGGGUCACCUUUUAUAUUAGUCUGUAAAUAAAAUACCUUGAGUCCCAUCCUAAGUGGUUUUGAGAAUCUAGCAUUUUCUCCAGUUGUUUCAACAAUUCUAAGGAGGAUGCUAACAUAGUGGUUGUUUAUUACCUAUUGCUUUGGACUCUGUCCCAAGUUUAUUUGCUUAUUGGUUUGUCUUGCCUCCUCCUUAUCCUGCCGACGUGCUAGUUUUUCUAACAUCUAGAUAACACCUCUUCUUUUUUUUUUUUUCUAGUGACUUCUUAGGUACUAUUAAGUGAAACUGAAAUUUACUGAAGGUUUGGGAUUUUGAGAGAAGAUGAAAGAAUUGACUCUUGCAGGUUUCCCUCUUUCUGGAGAGUGCAGCAGCCAGAUGCCAUCUUGGAAGGAGAGAGAUGCCCUGUCCCAACACCAAGCCUGCUAGCAGCUUGAUCUUGGACUUUAUAAUAUCCAGAACUAUUAGAACCAUUCAAAAUAAAUUUCUGUUUGUUAUAAAUUA